UUAACCUGGCCUUGACAUACUAAGAACUUUCCAGAGAUGGAUUGGUGCCUUCGGGAACUUAGAUACAGGUGCUGCAUGGCUGUCGUCAGCUCGUGUCGUGAGAUGUUGGGUUAAGUCCCGCAACGAGCGCAACCCUUUUCCUUAUUUGCCAGCGGGUUAAGCCGGGAACUUUAAGGAUACUGCCAGUGACAAACUGGAGGAAGGCGGGGACGACGUCAAGUCAUCAUGGCCCUUACGGCCAGGGCUACACACGUGCUACAAUGGUCGGUACAAAGGGUUGCUACCUCGCGAGAGGAUGCUAAUCUCAAAAAGCCGAUCGUAGUCCGGAUCGCAGUCUGCAACUCGACUGCGUGAAGUCGGAAUCGCUAGUAAUCGCGGAUCAGAAUGCCGCGGUGAAUACGUUCCCGGGCCUUGUACACACCGCCCGUCACACCAUGGGAGUUUGUUGCACCAGAAGUAGGUAGUCUAACCGCAAGGAGGACGCUUACCACGGUGUGGCCGAUGACUGGGGUGAAGUCGUAACAAGGUAGGCGUAGAUGA
RNAcentral lists this ribosomal RNA (540 nucleotides) under uncultured bacterium. Its description in RNAcentral is "bacterial SSU rRNA". It matches the Rfam family "Bacterial small subunit ribosomal RNA", at positions 970 to 1509 of the family's 1533-position model. The record is from RNAcentral.